UAUUAAACCGUACUCUCGUUGCACUCAACCUUUCCAGACUUUUCCAUCCUUAGUGUUGGCAUAGCUGCGCAACAACCUGUUCCACGAGCUGAUUGUGUGAACUUGGGGAAGAUGGAAGGUGAUGGCAGACUCUGAUUUGGGCUAACAGCCAGCUGAAGAAAUCAGUUUGUUUCUGUAAUAAAGGUUUUUGUGGAAAGAAAUCCACACAGAAUGACCAGCAUCACCAGACCAGGCCUUUGGUCCUAGUUCCUUUUUUUUUAAGUGUAAUUUUUCAAAUAAGAUAAAAUUUUAUUAUCUCACAAUGGAAGAUUUGUGUGUUACUACAGCUCAACUACAGAAAAACAGAGUGAGAAAAGUAGAUUAACAAAAUAUAAAAUACAGAUAUUAAAUACAAAUACAAUAAAAUAAAACUAGAAACCAACAGUAACUGGUGUUCUGUGUACAAGCAUACACAGUAUGCAAUAUGGAGGAAGGGUUAUGGAAAAUAGGUAACAUCUGUCUGUAUGUAUAGACAUACAUAUAAACACACAUACAUAUACACACACACUCACAAUAUGGAGAACGCUAUGAGUUUAGAAACUGCAGUACCAGCUUUGAUGUCACAAAAAACUCUAAGUACUAAAUACUUUACAGAACAAAUUAGUUACAGCCGUCUUCAACCAAACAACAAACAGACACAGUUAAAACCAAAAAAUGUCAUCAUUGUAAUCACUGUACAGAUACGAACUAUUACAUUUACAGACCUUUUCUCCCAGAAAGAGUACCCUGGUAAUCAUUUCAUGAGCUGUAAAACCACAUUUGUCAUGUACAGGUUAGAAUGUCCAGGACGUAAAGUUUUUUUUUUAGUUUGGUAGAACUAAGAGACGUUUGCCAGACAGAUUAGCAGAACAUAAAUAUGCAAUCUGGACAUUUAAUCUGAACUAUCCUAUGACCAAACGUUUCUUGGAGCACCACAGCAGUGAUCCAUCGACAUUAAGAGUAUAUGGAAUUGAUCAUAUCCCCAUUUCCAUUAGAAAAGGUGACAAACAAAAACUCAACCAAAGAGUCUUUUGGAUUUUUAAAUUACAGGCCACUAAACAUCCUGGGUUCAGUGAUGAGCUAGAUAUUACUUUGAGUAGUUCGGUUAUGCUACUUGUUAUGUUGUAUUGUUUGACUAUUGGUGUGGUUAUUUUGUGGUUUAAAUGAGAGCAUCCUGUCAUGUUAGAUUAUGCCAUCUCCUGUUGAAAUAUGGCAUCCAUGUUUGUAGUUCUUUGUAUUUUUUUCUGUUUUCUAUGGAGGGAGUGUUGUUGAUGGAAAUUUCAUUACAGGUGGAGAAUUCCUAUUGGUGCAAUUCCACUAUAAAGACACCUGAACUCAUCAACUCUGACUCCCUGACGAAGGUCAUUGGACUGAAACACAGGGGUGUUUUUUUAAAGGUCAAUAAGACUAUGUCACACGAAUGAGUUUUAGUUAUUUCUAAAGGUGAGUGUCUUUAAAGUGACUGUUAUCAGUCUCACCAGCUGGAAUCCAGACAAAUAAAAUGGUGAAAGUGGAAUUUGUCAGCCUUGUCUAAGUAUCUGAUACUUAUCUACUGUUGGAUAAUCAAUGUUAGAAUAAUAAAAAAAAAAAACAAUAUUUGAAAUGACUGCAAAUGGCCACAUAGACAUUACAACAAGAUUAACAGCUGGAUAUAAACCCAGAUUGGAUUCAAAUAAGGUAAAAUAUCAGCAGAAAACUGAAAACGUUAACGUGAUUGGCUACUUUGUGCAUAAAAGACAUUUAAAUUAAAAAUAUUUUACUUUUGAAUGGGGUAUGAGCAAAUCAUAUUGAAGCCACCACAGAAUGCAGCCUGUCUCAUGUGUUCAUGCGCACAAGUCUGCAGGCAACAUUCUACCUUUUUACUCCAGGAAACAAACCACAUUCUUGAGUUAAAUGAGAUCAUACUCCAGACUGAUCUGUUUAAUCUUACGAAGAACUCAUGAGCUGUGUGAAAGGCUGCACCAGAGGUUCGGCUUUUGUUUCUGGCUCGGUUUUGAUCCGAGUUGAUGCAGCUCUUAACACGCAGUCAUUUCCUGACAUUUUUUAAAUCAUCUGUUAAAGGCAUGUUAGAGAUUAAAAAUGCUGUAAAUGUUGUGCUGAAAAU
Melanotaenia boesemani (Boeseman's rainbowfish) is the source of this 2122-nucleotide long non-coding RNA. RefSeq lists it as uncharacterized. The record is from RefSeq and is a predicted model, not a curated record. The transcript has 2 exons. NCBI's taxonomy places the organism in Eukaryota, Metazoa, Chordata, Actinopteri, Atheriniformes, Melanotaeniidae.